This 486-nucleotide ribosomal RNA is filed under the name uncultured bacterium. Its description in RNAcentral is "bacterial SSU rRNA". It matches the Rfam family "Bacterial small subunit ribosomal RNA", at positions 33 to 507 of the family's 1533-position model. The record is from RNAcentral.
GACGACGCUGGCGGCGUGCCUAACACAUGCAAGUCGAACGGAGAUAUGAUUUCGGUUGUAUCUUAGUGGCGAACGGGUGAGUAACGCGUGAGCAACCUGACUCUUAGAGGGGGAUAACACUCGGAAACGGGUGCUAAUACCGCAUAAGACCACGACAUGGCAUCAUGACGAGGUCAAAGGAGCAAUCCGCUGAGAGAGGGGCUCGCGUCCCAUUAGAUAGAUGGCGGGGUAACGGCCCACCAUGUCGACGAUGGGUAGCCGAGCUGAGAGGCUGAUCGGCCACACUGGAACUGAGACACGGUCCAGACUCCUACGGGAGGCAGCAGUGGGGAAUCUUGCGCAAUGGGCGAAAGCCUGACGCAGCCAUGCCGCGUGAAUGAUGAAGGUCUUAGGAUUGUAAAGCUCUUUCGGCCGGGAAAAAAUCGCAUCAGUUAAUACCUGGUGUGGAUGAUGGUACCGGAAUAAGAAGCACCGGCUAACUACGUG